UACAAUGUAAGGUUUCCAGAACA
Molecule: non-coding RNA, 23 nt
Filed under: Rattus norvegicus (Norway rat)
Lineage: Eukaryota; Metazoa; Chordata; Mammalia; Rodentia; Muridae
Source: RNAcentral